ACAUAUGUUGCUCAGCUUUUGGGGGCAUUGUAUAGUCCUGCACAAGCCGGAAGCUGCCACAUGUAGUCAGUAAUAGGACGACGCUUGCAGGACUUCUGGCAUCCUUCGUAAUGUAACGAAAGUAAAGACAAAGAAAACAGUAAAAUUUGGUCAAUAUCCAAUUCUAUUGUCACGCUACAGCCUACUGAUGCUUCUGCAAAACAGUUUUUCUUUUGUUUCUUUAAAGGGUCAUUUCUUAAUAAAGUAGGCCUGUAGGUGAAUGUUGUGAAGUUUACAUAACUUCCAGGAGAGCUUCCAUUCGCAGUUGUAUGUUGCAGCUGUUGCACAUACGGCAAGCACUUGGAUUUCAUUGCCUUGCUGUUACUCACAUUCUUCAACCAUGCAUCAGCACACCUGCUUAUUUCGACCAUGUGUAGAACUGCAACGGUUGGGGUGAGACACAGAAGAAGACACAUAAGGGGGCAUCCCUGGAGGCAACAUUUCGACAAAAGUAUUGUCUUCUUCAAGGCUUGCCGAAUUGGAUUAUCAACACAAAUGGAAGAAUUUAUGUUAAGAGUCGAAGUUACAACAUAAUGACCAAAAGACGAUGCUACUCAAUUGAAAGACAAUAUUAUUACGGUGACAGAGACUGGGUGUACACAUUUCGUUAUAGGGAUCCAGAACGACCAAACGUCCUCAUUGCAUUCAAUGCAACAUUAAGCAUCAAAAGAACUGGAAACCACUCCAUUGAAAAUGCAGUAGUCUACACAUUUAAUAAAGGUUGUGAGCUGCUGCAAACAGCUGACACAGUAGGCACAGGUGUGCCGUCAGUAUGCAAGCGUCUGUACGACCGCGAGUGCUGGGGUGACAAGAUAGGGCUUUAUAUGAAGCUCUGCAAAAGUUUGCCCGAUUACAUCGUACCGCGCUGAGCUAUUAUUGUCAAUUUACAGCAAACACUGACCCCCAAGGUGCAUGGAUCGGCAUACGGAAAAAGUUGCCCAUGAUUUGUACAGUUGCAUUUUGCAGGAACUCUUUCUCCUCCAACUAGUAAACUUAGAAAUGAAAAAAAUAAAUAAAUAAAUAAAAAAGUCAAUGGAAUCAGAAAACACAAUACAAUAUAGUUAUCUUCCUUGUGGGGACAGGAAAAGGAACAUUAUUUGGAAUACACAAUUCCUAGAAGAUGCAUAUAUAUGGCUCAAUACAGUCCGCCUCUUUCAUUUUCCUGUGCUGCCCUCUACCAUUUCAUAAAGUUUUGUUAGGGGCCGGCACAACCAGUAUUGCCAGAAACAAAGCCUCCGAGAUGAAGAGAUGUUUCGCGACCUUUCCGCUAGGGGGAGUAUGUGCCAUGGCAUCAUGAAAAAGGCGGAUUAACAAGCAAACAGCAGCUGAGUACAGGUUCUCUUUUUUGUUCUCGAAGACAUGUUAUUCAUGAUGAUGUAAUUGGUCAUAUAAGUGUACAUAUAAAAUAAAUGUUUGAAUGAA
Rhipicephalus sanguineus (brown dog tick) is the source of this 1461-nucleotide long non-coding RNA. RefSeq lists it as uncharacterized. Lineage: Eukaryota; Metazoa; Arthropoda; Arachnida; Ixodida; Ixodidae. The record is from RefSeq and is a predicted model, not a curated record. The transcript has 5 exons.